GGUUUUAGCUCAGCGGUAGAGCACUCACCUUGCAUGUGUGAGGCCCUGGGUUCAAUCCUCAGCACCA
Molecule: transfer RNA, 67 nt
Filed under: Marmota monax (woodchuck)
Lineage: Eukaryota; Metazoa; Chordata; Mammalia; Rodentia; Sciuridae
Rfam family: tRNA
About the family: Transfer RNA (tRNA) molecules are approximately 80 nucleotides in length. Their secondary structure includes four short double-helical elements and three loops (D, anti-codon, and T loops).
Source: Rfam by way of RNAcentral